Equus asinus (donkey) is the source of this 1569-nucleotide long non-coding RNA. The record is from Ensembl. NCBI's taxonomy places the organism in Eukaryota, Metazoa, Chordata, Mammalia, Perissodactyla, Equidae.
CAAGAGGUCAAGAUGAAAGGGGCGUGGCUAAGCAGAACGGAGGUUGAAACUUACUUUAGGUGUAACCACGUGGCCGAGAGUAAGCUCCGUAAGAAAGCACGUCUGCCUUCCUCACCUUUAUAUCGCCAGCACCUACUGUGCGCUCAAGUAUUUGUUGAGAGAGAAAAUUAAUACUUCAUCUUUUCCAAACACUUCAUAAUAUAAGUGAUAGAAGGAACUUUGGAAAGAAGGGUUAAAUGAGAACUGCUCAAGAAUAAGCCCACCUGUCACCAGAUUUUCCAAACAUUUGAGAUUUUAAUUUUCUGAUUUAUUGACCAAAACAGUCUUAGAAAGAAAAAAUGACAAAAGUAAAAUUAAAAGCAAUGUAUAAUAAUUAGGAUGUGGGAGAGACUUCUGGUUGCCUAUGGAAAUAUUCUUCGUUAGUACCAGAAUCCCGGACAAUAAGCCAAAGUGAAGAACCACACUCCCAGAAUUGGCAGAUGGGGUGGCCAGAGAUUUGUAGGUCCUUCUAGUUCCUCUACUUGGGAUGCCGCCACAGCAUGGCUUGAUGAGCGGGACAUAGGUCUGCGCCCAGGAUCCGAACCAGCGAUCCCCAGGUUGCCAAAGUGGAGAACGUGAACUUAACCACCCAGCCACGGGGCCAGCCCCUUAACCAUUCUCUUUUAUCCAAAAAAGUUUUUAAAGGAUUCAGGGUGGGGAGGAAUUCUCCUUAAAAGCUUUAUUUUAGGAAAAGGCACAAGAUAAUAAAAAAAAGUUUACUAGGUGCCAGCACUGUUUUAAGUGGUUUAAAUUUAUAAACUCCUUUAACUAUAAGAUAUCUCUAUGAAUACCUUUCUCUUAUUACUUCCACUUUAUCGAUGAGGAAAUGGAAGUACAAUGGGGCUAAUUUGCCCAAAGUCAUAAAGUUAGUUCAUGUUAGAGCUAGGAUUUGAACCCAAGAAGUCCGGCUUCAGAAGCAACAAUUUUAAUCCCUAUGCCCAGGGGUAAUUAAUAUUACAUUCAAAAUAUUUUCAUAAGAUUGGCUUUAAUAAUUAAAUGAACUAACUGGAAAUGUCAGGGAUUAUCUGGCACCUAGAACAUAUACAGACACAUUUAAAAUCCAUUUCCCCUGGAAGAGAAUGGAUGGUAGGACGUGUAACUGCCAGUGUGAACUAAGCAAAGUUAAUAAAUAGGCUGAUCGUUGCAAGUGACAUCAGCAAAUGCAAAUCACAGUGACAAUCUGAGCUUUCCAGGCAAAGGAAACUUGCAUUCAAGGGUUUUUAUUAUAAUUCUUCCCCUUUAUUCUGCCUCUUGAAGAGUCUCUUAGAUAUCUUGGUCCCAGGAGUUGUUUAUGUUGCCAUUACUUGACAAUUUGGUUAAAAUUUAGUCUUAUUUUAUAAAUAUCUGUGGGGAAUAGAAAAAUAAAAUAAUGCUACUGAUAAUAAUAAAGUUGAGACCAAGAUGAAAAAAGCCGUUAAUCUUUGGUGAGAAUGAGAUACUUAUUAGACUUAAGUUGUUGACUAUUUAUUAAAUUGACAAAGAACAUGCAUGAAAUGUUGGAACUAUAUUAUUGAAAAUUGUACGAAAAUG